CGGGUGGCAUUCCUACAGGAAGCCGCACCGGCGAGAAUCCUACAAGUGUAUACUGUUGUAGACCGCUUGGAUCCCUGGGACCGAGACGGAAGG
Clostridiales bacterium PH28_bin88 is the source of this 93-nucleotide regulatory RNA element. It matches the Rfam family "pan motif". Lineage: Bacteria; Bacillati; Bacillota; Clostridia; Eubacteriales. The record is from Rfam.